Molecule: long non-coding RNA, 1854 nt
Organism: Chinchilla lanigera (long-tailed chinchilla)
Lineage: Eukaryota; Metazoa; Chordata; Mammalia; Rodentia; Chinchillidae
Source: Ensembl
GCAAGGUUUGCCGUCAUCCGAGAAGCUCCGGCUGAUGAACGCUGUCUGGAAUCUCCGUCGCCUCUUGCUCUCACCGCAGCCUGGAGGCUGAGGCUCACCUACAGCUGCAAACCGCCUGCGCUAGCCCCGUGACUCACCCACGCCCCUUUAAAGCCACACCGGGGCAGGGCAGGGGCCACUGGAGAAGCCAUGGCUCUCAGGCUCUGCUGUUCCCGCUGGGCACUGCUCUGCUGGCUGGUGGCAUUCGUGGCACAAGGAGCAGAGGGGCUGGCUCUGCCUCCUGGAGGCACACAGCACAACGCCCACCCUACAGACUGCCAGAUCUUCCCGCUCACCCCGCCACCCGCCACAAGGAGCCCGGUGACCCGGCCCCGGCCCCGGCCCGGCACAAGGACACCCAGACAGCCCUUGGUCUUCUUCCCACAGUGGCCCAGGGUCCCCCCCAGGUUCCCAGGCCCACCCUUCCUCCCUCCGGACUGCAGCCGCCGCUUCCCGUGGCAGCCGGGGUUCUGGCCACGCUGCUGCGUGACCCCCAGGCAAUGUCAACUGGGGACAGAGCUGCGUGGGGAAAGCUCGUCGUCGGAAGAGACUGGGGAGAGGUGAGCCCUGAGCCUGAGGAGCAGGAGGAGAUCUGGCCUGUGACCAGCCGGGGAAGAUUCCAUGUCCGCCUUGCAGCUAGAGUUACGGGACCAGAACAUGAAGCUACUCAUUUUAUGGCCAUGACUAGAAAUCAUUCUCCUCAUCAGCAGUGAAGACAACGGAUUAUAGGUGAUUUCUGUUUGAAAACUAGGGCAGUAACUAUGUCAUUCUUAUCCCUCAGGGGAUUAAUGCAAAUAAAAUCCUAAAACGGGACGUUCCAAUAAUUCCUAUCCACACCGAGAGUCGAAGAUUCAGCCCUGUCUUCUAAAUGACAGGGGAGCACAUUUAAAGAAAGAUCACUAUGAUUCCAUGAAGACAUGAAUGGCUUUUUUAAAAUAUUCUGUAGGAAACUUACUGAGCAAGGUGAACUUACAAAGUGAACUUUGAAAGAAAUGAUAAACAUUAAAGCAAAAAUGGAUGCGGAAUCUGACUAUGGGUAUAUUUUUACGUUUCGACUUUUUAUACUUUCAAAGUUAAAAACUGAAUAAUCUAACACAAAUAAUUAUGUUGAAGUGUAAUAUCCAAAUUGAAUAUUAACCUUUGAAGCAGGUGGUGUGACCAGCCUCACAAGUUCCUCACUACUGUGGUCACAUAAACGUGAAAUGAAAUGAAAACUUCCCCUGAACACUCAGCACAGGUCCACACACCAAAGCUUGAUUAAAGAGCCAUGUACGUGGGUGUCCUUUGAACUUUAGGGUUCUAUGAACAAAGAUCACUCAACCACAGGGAAGGUAUGUUCUCAGGGUGCAGGACGGGUCCCAUGGGCUGCACCCGUGGCCUGGUUGUUUCUUGCCGGGAAAGCUCACCUCAUACCUGUGCUGCUCCUCUUGCCUGUGUUCAGGAUUUGAUCGUGGUCUCUACUUCCCCACCCAAGUGGUCAGGGGCUUCCACUGGGUCUUUAAAGAAUGCUGUGCAAAGGAGGCCGCUAGUACUGCUACAAAGACAAUCAGUCAGUCAAUCAAAAACACUAAGAUACGAGCACAGGGUGGGGGGUGCCUGGGAGAAGGUGAGCCGUAUAAGAUCACUGUGCUGGGCUUGCUCCAAUAAGUGAUAUAGCAAGUGAUAAAUGUCUUCACUCACUUAGCACUAAAUAUUCAUUAUUAGAACUGGCAUUUGCUUUAAAUUUAUAUAGGUUUAUAUAAAAACUUAUUUGAAAUCAUCAUCAAGAAACUGUAUUUUGAAAUAAACCUUACCUGGGCUUUGAUUGCUCGGGAC